ACUUCUACGGGAGGCAGCAGUAGGGAAUCUUCCGCAAUGGGCGAAAGCCUGACGGAGCAACGCCGCGUGAGUGAUGAAGGUCUUCGGAUCGUAAAACUCUGUUAUUAGGGAAGAACAAACGUNUAAGUACUGUGCACGUCUUGACUGGUACCUAAUCAGAAAGCCACGGCUAACUACGUGCCAGCAGCCGCGGUAAUACGUAGGUGGCAAGCGUUAUCCGGAAUUAUUGGGCGUAAAGCGCGCGUAGGCGGUUUUUAAGUCUGAUGUGAAAGCCCACGGCUCAACCGUGGAGGGUCAUUGGAAACUGGAAAACUUGAGUGCAGAAGAGGAAAGUGGAAUUCCAUGUGUAGCGGUGAAAUGCGCAGAGAUAUGGAGGAACACCAGUGGCGAAGGCGACUUUCUGGUCUGUAACUGACGCUGAUGUGCGAAAGCGUGGGGAUCAAACAGGAUUAGAUACCCUGGUAGGCGUAGU
RNAcentral lists this ribosomal RNA (472 nucleotides) under uncultured bacterium. Its description in RNAcentral is "bacterial SSU rRNA". It matches the Rfam family "Bacterial small subunit ribosomal RNA", at positions 335 to 803 of the family's 1533-position model. The record is from RNAcentral.